CAGUAUCCACGGGAAUACAGAGGGUGCGAGCGUUAAUCGGAUUUACUGGGCGUAAAGCGUGCGUAGGCGGCUUCUUAAGUCGGAUGUGAAAUCCCUGAGCUUAACUUAGGAAUUGCAUUCGAUACUGGGAAGCUAGAGUAUGGGAGAGGAUGGUAGAAUUCCAGGUGUAGCGGUGAAAUGCGUAGAGAUCUGGAGGAAUACCGAUGGCGAAGGCAGCCAUCUGGCCUAAUACUGACGCUGAGGUACGAAAGCAUGGGGAGCAAACAGGAUUAGAUACCCCAGUAGUCCCUGUCUCUUAUAC
RNAcentral lists this ribosomal RNA (301 nucleotides) under uncultured bacterium. RNAcentral's name for it is "partial 16S ribosomal RNA". It matches the Rfam family "Bacterial small subunit ribosomal RNA", at positions 509 to 807 of the family's 1533-position model. The record is from RNAcentral.